Long non-coding RNA from Cygnus atratus (black swan), 2130 nucleotides. RefSeq lists it as uncharacterized. NCBI's taxonomy places the organism in Eukaryota, Metazoa, Chordata, Aves, Anseriformes, Anatidae. The transcript is spliced from 6 exons. The record is from RefSeq and is a predicted model, not a curated record.
AAUUUAAUUUAGUAAUAAAAUAAAAUAAAAAAAAAAGAAAGAAAUUUACUGGAGAAAUUUUAGAUACAAGAGAAACACGUGAGUGUGACUUAAGAUUACAGGUGCAGAGUAGUCCGAAAUGAUCAGAAGAUACAUGGGAAUAGAAGCGUUCAGAAGGAAGAAGGGUGAAGUCCGUCUCAGAGAAGUCAUCUCCACAUCAGCGGGUGACAGGCUAUGCUGGUAAUUCCUAUAGGGAGUCCACCUGGGAUGCUGGCACUGGAACCUCUGCACUACCGCCCAUUCCCAGGCAGGAUUUCAUCCCUUUAAGAGGACUGGCCGAGUUCCCACCUCUAGUGUUGCAGUCUGCUUGAAAACUCAGACAUCAAUAAAACCAUUAAGGUUCCAGAAGAAGCUUUAAGAGGAAGUGCCAGAACUUUGUUAGGGAAAGAUUGCGGUACUUUUAGUCCCUGAGGAAGCCUGGCAAGAUUAUAAAGAUAGCAGUGUGCUCCGCUGAAGACUGAGAGGUGGAGGAAGCAGACAAGAUGGAAAAGUUAAUAGGAAGAAGGAAAAGUGUAAAAGAGUGAAUGAAUCCAUGCAGAAGAUCAUGAACACAUUGCCAAAUCAUAUUUGCGAAACGCCGCUUCCUGCUGAUACCCAAAUAUUAAUAAUCUUUUCAGCAAACAUCAGGACUGAAAUCCCCCUCUCCAGGCUCCUCCCAGAGCUGUGCGCCACAACUCCUGCAGACUGCCUACCUCUCCUUCAGGUCUGCUUCUGAGCUCUCUCUGCUUUUGCAUCUACUCUCUCUUUUCUACAUACAGCCCUGCCCAAAACAAACUCACCAAGGCUCCCCACCCAGAUCUUUUGAAUUCCUAGGCAACCUUGCAUUUGCCUUUGUUUUGGGCAGAAACGUGUGCUGAACUGUCUUUUACAACUGAGAAGAGAAGGGCGGUGGUUAAGCCUACCAUUUUCAACAAGGCUUAACCCAGCCUAUAACAAAACCCUCAGUAAGGAUGUAACCACUUCACAACUGUGUAUGCGUGUGUGUGUGUGGUAUGUGGAAAGGAAUUUGCAGAAGAAAUGGCCAUCCUUCCCCAAAUUUCCAGCUGGACAGGAGCCACAAUCAGGAUGAGGACAGUUUAGUUCAUUUGACAGUUGCACACAGGAAAGAUGCAUAGUUCUUAGCAGCUUAUUUCUGUUGGGACUAGAGAUACUGGUGCCCUUAUGGUUUCUACUUCAGACAUCAAUGCACUCUGCAGCUUUUCUGUUCCGAGCUGAUUCAAUCUGAGCACCAGUGUGGAAGCCAAGGAGGCCACACUAGAUGUGAAGCUUGUGUACUCAGUGAUGCAGGUCUUCAAGGCUGGAACCAGCCUCCACCUGACCAGCUUGGAGGGUGCGGAAGAGCCUUUCCUGGUCCGCACUUGUCUGAGUUCACAAGCCAAUCUGUAUUGGCAAGCCUUUGCCUUCCUGAGACCAUGAGAUUUGGCAUGGUUGGAUUAUCUAUGGAGGUCUCUCUGCUGAUGCUUUGCUGUAAAAAACUCAUUUAUACUCUGCUCACAGAUGCAUAAAAUAUUGCUUAUUGAACUUGUGUGUGUCAUGUAUGUCAAUACCCAAUAAUGCUAAUGUUGAUCUUAAUAAGACAGCGUUUUGUAACCUGAGUAGGCUUGUGCGUGAUGUGUUCAGUGGUGGCAGAAGGAGUUCUCCAAAGCAAUGUAGUCAGUUGUUAGCAGCAGACAAGUUGUGUGAAGGAAGGGAGUGGUUAGGAGGCGCUCCGUAACCUGGCAUUUUCUUACAGACAGAGUUUAAGUUAAGGUGGGUUAUCACACGUAGGCAACCCUAAUCCCUUUUAAAUGAAGGUUCUGUUUAUAGAAUAUCAAGAUCAGGAUUAUAAAUCCCGGAACAAAUCACCAGGUAUAAUUAAAAGGAAUAAUGCUAGUUAUAUUUUCCAGUCAUUCUCAGUACUUUAAACUUGGUCUCUGUACUCCUUGGACUUCUCACAGGUAAGCAGAGAUAGUAUCUCUGUGAUCUAAUAGUAACCCGUUUACUAUAGUUCCUUUGUACCAUACAUAUGUGUAAAUACAUACCAGUGUUACACAUUGUAUAUGGCAUAACAAACUAGUUAAUUCUUUCAGUUUUGCAUUGCUAUGUUCAACA